AGCCAGUCAAAAACUUGUCAGGUCCUGCCACGUGGGCACCGGGAUGCUGUGGUCGAAUACACAGAACCCUGCAGCAAUAAGAAAAGUGGAGGAAUCCAGGCCCUUUCUUUCUUCUGGCUGGGAGCACCCGAAUAACGAAGGACCUGCUCCAGCAGGAAAGAGUACCCAUGUCCAUCCCAUACCCCUGACAGCUCAGCCCCGAUUGCUCAUCUGUUUCCAAGUACAGCUGAGACAUUUUGCUGGUGGGCAGAGAAGUCAGGGACUCUGCAUCCAGCACCCUGCAGCAGAGGAAGCAUUAGUAUUGCUGUUGUUAGCCUUGUUAUUUUCUCCUAAUAAAAAGGUGGUCGUGACUCACUCCAUU
RNAcentral lists this long non-coding RNA (361 nucleotides) under Junco hyemalis (dark-eyed junco). RNAcentral's name for it is "lncRNA (ENSJHYG00000007990.1)". The record is from RNAcentral. Lineage: Eukaryota; Metazoa; Chordata; Aves; Passeriformes; Passerellidae.